GAUGAAGAACGUAGCGAAAUGCGAUACUUGGUGUGAAUUGCAGAAUCCCGUGAACCAUCGAGUCUUUGAACGCAAGUUGCGCCUCAAGCCAUUAGGUUGAGGGCACGUCUGCCUGGGCGUCACAUAUCGUUGCCUGAUGCCAGUUUCCUCGUGAUGGGUGACUGUGCGGGGCGAAUGAUGGCUUCCCGUGAGCAUUGUUGCCUCAUGGUUGGUUGAAAAUUGAGUCCUUGGUAGGGAGCGCCGUGAUAGAUGGUGGUUGAGUGACGAACGAGACCCAAUCAUGUGAGACCCCUACCGAAUUUGGCCUUCAUGACCCACAUGCGUCUUUGGAACGCUCAUGACGAGACCUCAGGUCAGGCGGGGCUACCCGCUGAGUUUAAGCAUAUCAAUAAGCGGAGGA
This 400-nucleotide unclassified non-coding RNA is filed under the name soil metagenome. RNAcentral's name for it is "partial contains 5.8S ribosomal RNA, internal transcribed spacer 2, and large subunit ribosomal RNA". The stretch from base 1 to 122 matches the Rfam family "5.8S ribosomal RNA", at positions 35 to 154 of the family's 154-position model. The record is from RNAcentral.